AAGACUAAACUCUGGAUCCUUGAACCAGUUUUCCACACCUUUCCACAUUAAAGUUAUGUUAACAAUGUAGUGACCAAGACUACCAUAUCCGUAAAUCCAAACUUGAUGAAAUUCUUGAUGCAGGUUGGAAUUCCAUCUGAUAGUUUGUUUCUGGAAAGAUCCAGCACUUGUAUGUGCUCUAAGUGACAGAGAUGCAUAGAAAGAUUUCCAGAGAAGUGAUUUUCUGACAUGCUCAAGAGAAUCAAUUGUUGAAGGUUGUCACCAAUCCAAAAGGGAAUUGGCCCAGACAACAAAUUUUUUGCCACGUCCAACACAAAUAAAUUGGUGCAAUUCUUAAGACUUGAAGGUAGUUCUCCCAUCAAGCUAUUGUUUCUUAAGACCAAAGCUUCCAAUUUGUUAAGGGAGCCCAUGGAUGGUGGGAUCUUCCCUGACAAAUUAUUAUUGCUUAGAUCAAGAAACAAUAAUGUGUUUACAGAUCCCCAACAAUCUGGAAGUUGUCCAUUUAUUUGAUUGUUUGUUAAAUCUAGACUGACGAGCGAGCUUGUAGCAGUAGUGCUGUUGUCACACAACAGUGAUGACACAUCUGAAAAUUUAUUUUCAGAGAGAAUCAACCACCAUGCAUGCUGCAAAAACGAUGGAAUUGUACCCUCAAAUUGAUUUGAACUCAAAUCUAUAUAUGCUCCGGGGACGGAUAACCUUGGCGGUAAACUUGGAAUAGCACCUAUAAAAUUGUUGUGGGACAUAUUCAAAUGGUAUC
Non-coding RNA from Arachis ipaensis, 757 nucleotides. The record is from RefSeq and is a predicted model, not a curated record. NCBI's taxonomy places the organism in Eukaryota, Viridiplantae, Streptophyta, Magnoliopsida, Fabales, Fabaceae.